Molecule: ribosomal RNA, 797 nt
Filed under: Staphylococcus aureus
Lineage: Bacteria; Bacillati; Bacillota; Bacilli; Caryophanales; Staphylococcaceae
Description: partial 23S ribosomal RNA
Rfam family: Bacterial large subunit ribosomal RNA
Source: RNAcentral
AUCAAAGAAGGUAAUAAUCCUGUAGUCGAAAAUGUUGUCUCUCUUGAGUGGAUCCUGAGUACGACGGAGCACGUGAAAUUCCGUCGGAAUCUGGGAGGACCAUCUCCUAAGGCUAAAUACUCUCUAGUGACCGAUAGUGAACCAGUACCGUGAGGGAAAGGUGAAAAGCACCCCGGAAGGGGAGUGAAAUAGAACCUGAAACCGUGUGCUUACAAGUAGUCAGAGCCCGUUAAUGGGUGAUGGCGUGCCUUUUGUAGAAUGAACCGGCGAGUUACGAUUUGAUGCAAGGUUAAGCAGUAAAUGUGGAGCCGUAGCGAAAGCGAGUCUGAAUAGGGCGUUUAGUAUUUGGUCGUAGACCCGAAACCAGGUGAUCUACCCUUGGUCAGGUUGAAGUUCAGGUAACACUGAAUGGAGGACCGAACCGACUUACGUUGAAAAGUGAGCGGAUGAACUGAGGGUAGCGGAGAAAUUCCAAUCGAACCUGGAGAUAGCUGGUUCUCUCCGAAAUAGCUUUAGGGCUAGCCUCAAGUGAUGAUUAUUGGAGGUAGAGCACUGUUUGGACGAGGGGCCCCUCUCGGGUUACCGAAUUCAGACAAACUCCGAAUGCCAAUUAAUUUAACUUGGGAGUCAGAACAUGGGUGAUAAGGUCCGUGUUCGAAAGGGAAACAGCCCAGACCACCAGCUAAGGUCCCAAAAUAUAUGUUAAGUGGAAAAGGAUGUGGCGUUGCCCAGACAACUAGGAUGUUGGCUUAGAAGCAGCCAUCAUUUAAAGAGUGCGUAAUAGCUCACUAGUCGAG